This 65-nucleotide transfer RNA is filed under the name Eurysternus foedus. RNAcentral's name for it is "tRNA-Tyr". It matches the Rfam family "tRNA". From Rfam's summary of the family: Transfer RNA (tRNA) molecules are approximately 80 nucleotides in length. Their secondary structure includes four short double-helical elements and three loops (D, anti-codon, and T loops). Lineage: Eukaryota; Metazoa; Arthropoda; Insecta; Coleoptera; Scarabaeidae. The record is from RNAcentral.
AAUAAAGUGGCUGAGAUUAAGCGAUAAAUUGUAAAUUUAUUUACGAAAGUAAUUUUCCUUUAUUA